This 553-nucleotide ribosomal RNA is filed under the name Salmonella enterica subsp. enterica serovar Newport. RNAcentral describes it as "partial 23S ribosomal RNA". It matches the Rfam family "Bacterial large subunit ribosomal RNA", at positions 711 to 1261 of the family's 2925-position model. The record is from RNAcentral. Lineage: Bacteria; Pseudomonadati; Pseudomonadota; Gammaproteobacteria; Enterobacterales; Enterobacteriaceae.
AGACCCGAAACCCGGUGAUCUAGCCAUGGGCAGGUUGAAGGUUGGGUAACACUAACUGGAGGACCGAACCGACUAAUGUUGAAAAAUUAGCGGAUGACCUGUGGCUGGGGGUGAAAGGCCAAUCAAACCGGGAGAUAGCUGGUUCUCCCCGAAAGCUAUUUAGGUAGCGCCUCGUGAAUUCAUCUCCGGGGGUAGAGCACUGUUUCGGCUAGGGGGCCAUCCCGGCUUACCAACCCGAUGCAAACUGCGAAUACCGGAGAAUGUUAUCACGGGAGACACACGGCGGGUGCUAACGUCCGUCGUGAAGAGGGAAACAACCCAGACCGCCAGCUAAGGUCCCAAAGUCAUAGUUAAGUGGGAAACGAUGUGGGAAGGCCCAGACAGCCAGGAUGUUGGCUUAGAAGCAGCCAUCAUUUAAAGAAAGCGUAAUAGCUCACUGGUCGAGUCGGCCUGCGCGGAAGAUGUAACGGGGCUAAACUAUGCACCGAAGCUGCGGCAGCGACACUAUGUGUUGUUGGGUAGGGGAGCGUUCUGUAAGCCUGUGAAGGUGUGU